This 305-nucleotide ribosomal RNA is filed under the name uncultured bacterium. RNAcentral's name for it is "bacterial SSU rRNA". It matches the Rfam family "Bacterial small subunit ribosomal RNA", at positions 333 to 656 of the family's 1533-position model. The record is from RNAcentral.
UGUCUCCUACGGGGGGCAGCAGUGGGGGAUAUUGCACAAUGGGGGAAACCCUGAUGCAGCGACGCCGCGUGGGUGAAGAAGCGCCUCGGCGCGUAAAGCCCUGUCAGCAGGGAAGAAAAUGACGGUACCUGAAGAAGAAGCCCCGGCUAACUACGUGCCAGCAGCCGCGGUAAUACGGAGAAUGCGAGCGUUAUCCGGAUUUAUUGGGUUUAAAGGGUGCGUAGGCGGAAUGCCAAGUCAGCGGUAAAAUCGCGGGGCUCAACCUCGCUCCGCCGUUGAAACUGGCGUUCUUGAGUGGGCGAGAA